This 20-nucleotide non-coding RNA is filed under the name Arabidopsis thaliana (thale cress). Lineage: Eukaryota; Viridiplantae; Streptophyta; Magnoliopsida; Brassicales; Brassicaceae. The record is from RNAcentral.
UGGAUCUUGAUAAUCUUUGU